GUGGAGGUUUAGCUCAGUGGUUACUUCAAAUCUUUGCCAAUGAUUUCAUCCAACUCCAGCGGUCCGUGGGCCAGGGGUUCGAACCACGGGUGCUGUCCUCCGCCUUU
Molecule: non-coding RNA, 107 nt
Organism: Xyrichtys novacula (pearly razorfish)
Lineage: Eukaryota; Metazoa; Chordata; Actinopteri; Labriformes; Labridae
Source: the annotation of a GenBank genome assembly